CCUACGUGUGGCUGCAGUGGGGAAUAUUGGACAAUGGGCGAAAGCCUGAUCCAGCCAUGCCGCGUGUGUGAAGAAGGCCUUCGGGUUGUAAAGCACUUUCAGUGGGGAAGAAAGCCUUGGGGCUAAUACCCUCGAGGAAGGACAUCACCCACAGAAGAAGCACCGGCUAACUCCGUGCCAGCAGCCGCGGUAAUACGGAGGGUGCGAGCGUUAAUCGGAAUUACUGGGCGUAAAGCGCGCGUAGGCGGUCUGAUAAGCCGGUUGUGAAAGCCCCGGGCUCAACCUGGGAACGGCAUCCGGAACUGUCAGGCUAGAGGGCAGGAGAGGAAGGUAGAAUUCCCGGUGUAGCGGUGAAAUGCGUAGAGAUCGGGAGGAAUACCAGUGGCGAAGGCGGCCUUCUGGACUGACACUGACGCUGAGGUGCGAAAGCGUGGGUAGCAAACAGGAUUAGAUACCCUAGUAGUC
This 465-nucleotide ribosomal RNA is filed under the name Vreelandella stevensii. RNAcentral describes it as "partial 16S ribosomal RNA". It matches the Rfam family "Bacterial small subunit ribosomal RNA", at positions 338 to 795 of the family's 1533-position model. The record is from RNAcentral. Lineage: Bacteria; Pseudomonadati; Pseudomonadota; Gammaproteobacteria; Oceanospirillales; Halomonadaceae.